GCCGGGAAUGGUGGUGCAUGCCUGUAAUCCCAGCUACUCGGGAGGCUGAGGCAGGAGAAUUGCUUGAACCCGGGAGGCGGAGGUUGCAGUGAGCUGAGAUCGCACUACUGCACUCCAGCCUGGGCAACAGAGCAAGACCCUGUCUCAA
Molecule: non-coding RNA, 148 nt
Filed under: Pan paniscus (pygmy chimpanzee)
Lineage: Eukaryota; Metazoa; Chordata; Mammalia; Primates; Hominidae
Also listed under: 1 other name
Source: Rfam by way of RNAcentral